GACGAGCUGGUUCAUUGGUAGAACGGCGGACUGUUAAUCCGCGAGCAUUAGCUCUAUGUAGGUUCAAUUCCUACGCUCGUCG
RNAcentral lists this transfer RNA (82 nucleotides) under Klebsiella phage vB_KpnM_KB57. It matches the Rfam family "tRNA". Rfam says of the family: Transfer RNA (tRNA) molecules are approximately 80 nucleotides in length. RNAcentral also lists the same sequence under 5 other names. Lineage: Duplodnaviria; Heunggongvirae; Uroviricota; Caudoviricetes. The record is from Rfam by way of RNAcentral.